GGGGAUUUAGCUCAGUGGUAGAGUGCUUGCCUUGCAAGUGCAAGGCCCUGGGUUCAGUCCUCA
This 63-nucleotide transfer RNA is filed under the name Rattus norvegicus (Norway rat). It matches the Rfam family "tRNA". Rfam says of the family: Transfer RNA (tRNA) molecules are approximately 80 nucleotides in length. The record is from Rfam by way of RNAcentral. Lineage: Eukaryota; Metazoa; Chordata; Mammalia; Rodentia; Muridae.